UUUACAUUCUGCAUGGAUUUCCCUGUUCUGGACGUGCCACACAUACGGGAUCAUACGAGAUACCAGCUCACUGAAUCCUCUCAUAACCCUAAAACAUCAGACAUCACAUGUGUGAGGACAAC
Long non-coding RNA from Otolemur garnettii (small-eared galago), 122 nucleotides. RefSeq lists it as uncharacterized. The transcript is spliced from 3 exons. Lineage: Eukaryota; Metazoa; Chordata; Mammalia; Primates; Galagidae. The record is from RefSeq and is a predicted model, not a curated record.